This 495-nucleotide ribosomal RNA is filed under the name uncultured soil bacterium. Its description in RNAcentral is "bacterial SSU rRNA". It matches the Rfam family "Bacterial small subunit ribosomal RNA", at positions 26 to 522 of the family's 1533-position model. The record is from RNAcentral.
AGAUUGAACGCUAGCGGGAUGCUUUACACAUGCAAGUCGAACGGCAGCGCGGACUUCGGUCUGGCGGCGAGUGGCGAACGGGUGAGUAAUAUAUCGGAACGUGCCCAGUAGCGGGGGAUAACUACGCGAAAGCGUGGCUAAUACCGCAUACGCCCUACGGGGGAAAGGGGGGGAUCGCAAGACCUCUCACUAUUGGAGCGGCCGAUAUCGGAUUAGCUAGUUGGUGGGGUAAAGGCUCACCAAGGCUUCGAUCCGUAGCUGGUUUGAGAGGACGACCAGCCACACUGGGACUGAGACACGGCCCAGACUCCUACGGGAGGCAGCAGUGGGGAAUUUGGACAAUGGGGGAAACCCUGAUCCAGCCAUCCCGCGUGUGCGAUGAAGGCCUUCGGGUUGUAAGCACUUUGGCAGGAAGAAACGGCGCCGGAUAAUACCUGGCGUCACUGACGGUACCUGCAGAAUAAGCACCGGCUAACUACGUGCCAGCACGCCGAC